This 779-nucleotide ribosomal RNA is filed under the name uncultured bacterium. RNAcentral's name for it is "bacterial SSU rRNA". It matches the Rfam family "Bacterial small subunit ribosomal RNA", at positions 59 to 813 of the family's 1533-position model. The record is from RNAcentral.
CAGUCGACGAGACUUUUUAUUUGAUGCUUGCAUCUUUUAAAAAGUUGAGUGGCGAACGGGUGAGUAACACGUGGGUAACCUGCCUUAAAGUGGGGGAUAACACUUGGAAACAGGUGCUAAUACCGCAUAACCAUCAAAACCACCUGGUUUUGAUGUUAAAGAUGGUUCUGCUAUCGCUUUAAGAUGGACCCGCGGCGUAUUAGCUAGUUGGUGAGGUAACGGCUUACCAAGGCAAUGAUACGUAGCCGAACUGAGAGGUUGAUCGGCCACAUUGGGACUGAGACACGGCCCAAACUCCUACGGGAGGCAGCAGUAGGGAAUCUUCCACAAUGGACGAAAGUCUGAUGGAGCAACGCCGCGUGAGUGAAGAAGGUUUUCGGAUCGUAAAACUCUGUUGUCAGAGAAGAACGUGUGUGAGAGUAACUGUUCACGCAGUGACGGUAUCUGACCAGAAAGUCACGGCUAACUACGUGCCAGCAGCCGCGGUAAUACGUAGGUGGCAAGCGUUGUCCGGAUUUAUUGGGCGUAAAGGGAACGCAGGCGGUCUUUUAAGUCUGAUGUGAAAGCCUUCGGCUUAACCGAAGUCGGGCAUUGGAAACUGGGAGACUUGAGUGCAGAAGAGGAGAGUGGAACUCCAUGUGUAGCGGUGAAAUGCGUAGAUAUAUGGAAGAACACCAGUGGCGAAAGCGGCUCUCUGGUCUGUAACUGACGCUGAGGUUCGAAAGCGUGGGUAGCAAACAGGAUUAGAUACCCUGGUAGUCCACGCCGUAAACGAUGAA